Non-coding RNA from Crenichthys baileyi (White River springfish), 73 nucleotides. NCBI's taxonomy places the organism in Eukaryota, Metazoa, Chordata, Actinopteri, Cyprinodontiformes, Goodeidae. The record is from the annotation of a GenBank genome assembly.
GCGAUGAUGGUAUAGUGGUGAGCAUAGCUGCCUUUCCAGCAGUUGACCUGGGUUUUGAUUCCCCACCAUUGCC